GAGCCAAGAUGGCUGAUGAUCAUCACCAUGGUAACCCUGUUAAAGGUGAUAUGGGAAGUGCAUGUUUGACUAUGACUCAGCUGCAGAUGGCGAUCACAGAGGGUACCAUUUUGCAAAUAGAAGCUCUUUCUGAAAGCAUCAACAACCUCACAUAUCUGCUCAGCCGAGAUGAGCUGCGGAAGGAGAUGAGGCGUUCACAGACGGCGCUAGUUUGAAGGACGAUGACCCUAAGCUGUAGGCUGUCAAUCAACCACAAAGACCUGUAGUGACCUGUCUCACAGCUGAAUUGUACCUCAGCUCUCAAGCUAACACUGCAGCGUGGAGCUCCUUACAUUUACUUCUACUAGCCCCUGAUACCUCAAGUUAACUCCUGCACACAUAAGUACAGAGGACUGGGAAAUACAAACGGACCUACAUAUUUUGACAACAAUCAAAGGUCUUAUUUUUAUUUUCUAGUGUGCUGAAUUGAACUGUUAUUUAUACACUUUUUUUGUUACUGCUUUCCUUAAUUCCCUAUGCAAUGUAGCUUUUAAUGAGCAUACUGACCACUGUGUACUGUAAAUACUGUGUUGGUAUUUCAUUA
This is a long non-coding RNA of Oreochromis aureus, 583 nucleotides long. NCBI's taxonomy places the organism in Eukaryota, Metazoa, Chordata, Actinopteri, Cichliformes, Cichlidae. The record is from Ensembl.